Molecule: long non-coding RNA, 1448 nt
Filed under: Equus caballus (horse)
Lineage: Eukaryota; Metazoa; Chordata; Mammalia; Perissodactyla; Equidae
Description: lncRNA (ENSECAG00000058281.1)
Source: RNAcentral
GGAAGUUGUAAAAAAAGAAGAAAAAAAAAAAAUUGGUCCCCGAGAGAGAGAACAAACAUUCUAAGCCACUCUGACUCUUACAAACAGAAUCUCUGAUAACCUCACAGUGCCUCGGCUACAGGGUGGCAACAAAGGUAGCCGCCAACCAAUGGCUUUGACAGAAUGAGGCACCCCUUGGCAUGCCUGCUAGAGGCAAACAGAUCUCUCUAGCACUCAUCCAGGGACUGGGGAGGUCUGGGGAGGCUGGUUUGCUCCACUGCGCCCCCUCCCUUUUUUCUGCCUCGCAUUCAUGUCUCUCUCAUUUCAUUCCUGUGGAGCCAACUCUGAAGCUGUUGAAAGAGGAUUGACUAUUGCUCCAUCAGCCACCUGGCAGCCCGCAACCACGACCAGCUUUACUUAAACCCAUGAGUGGCUUCAAAAGGAAAAGCAGGGGAAAAGGGAAAGAAAAAAAAGAGAAAAAAGAGGUAGAUGGCAUGCAGAUGGUAGUUUAUUUUCACAACAACCCUACAGGAAAAGGUCCCAUUAGGAUGCUUGUUUGUAAAAUAUCACACAAUUCCCUCAUUUAACUGAUGAGAAAACUGAGGAUGACUUGCUCAAGGUCACAUAACCAAUAAGUGGUGGCAAAGUUGGGACUCAAACCUAGGAUUUCUGGCCCCAAAGCCAUUUUCUUAAUCCUUACCCAACAGUGCUCUGCGAGCAAAUCUCAAGACCUACUUUAUCUGAGCCUCAGAUUGCUCACUCAGCUUAAUGAGGAGAUUGGAUGAUACUAUCUCCUAGUUCCUAAACGAUCUGUUAAAGAAAGCCCUGCUAACUCAGCGGGAGGAAAGACGGCUGCUGAGCCCUUCUCCAUGAGCUUCCUGAAAACCUUGAUAACUCUCCUUCAAGGGUGGAGCAGCGGCAGAUAGCUUUGAUCUCGACUGAGCAAGAGCUCAAGAUCUACAACCAGAAUCAACCCUUUGAUUAGAACUCUGGAUAUGUUUGUGAACACGUGUAUCCAUGAAUUCCUUCUGUAUGUGGCAAAUCUUAGAAUGUCUGCCAGCAUAUCUCAAAAAGACAAUCCCUCCCUAGCUUCCAGGUACCAGCUACAAGCCUUCUUUCGACCCAUCUGAUAGCAAACUCCUCAUAUGAGUGGUCUGUGCUGCUCCCACCACUCCUAUUCUCCCAGUCUUUCUUGACUCGCUCUAAUUGGGCUUUUGCCCCAUCAGUCCACAGAAACCUCUCUUAUCAAAGUCACCCACAACCUACGUGAUGUUCUUCAUCCAGCCAGGCCUUGGAAACUGACUGCAGCACCGAGAUACAGAAGAACAGAACAGGUGAAAAACAGGAAUCUACGGAUCAAAACAACAAUGUAUGAACUACCUCCACCAAAACUCUUAAGCUAAGUGCAUAAGGCAAAUACACAUCAUUAAACAGAUAUACAUUCUUUUCCAUAAACUAUCUUAUUAUCA